This 450-nucleotide ribosomal RNA is filed under the name uncultured bacterium. RNAcentral's name for it is "partial 16S ribosomal RNA". It matches the Rfam family "Bacterial small subunit ribosomal RNA", at positions 354 to 796 of the family's 1533-position model. The record is from RNAcentral.
GUGGGGAAUAUUCCGCAAUGGACGAAAGUCUGACGGAGCAACGCCGCGUGAGUGAUGAAGGUUUUCGGACUGUAAAGCUCUGUUGUUUGGGACGAAAGUGCCUGUUGCGAACAGUUACGGGUAUUGACGGUACUAAACGAGGAAGCCACGGCUAACUACGUGCCAGCAGCCGCGGUAAUACGUAGGUGGCAAGCGUUGUCCGGAAUUAUUGGGCGUAAAGAGCAUGUAGGCGGGAAUCUAAGUCUGUUGUUAAAAUGCGGGGCUCAACCCCGUAUUUCGAUUGAAACUGGGUUUCUUGAGUGCAGGAGAGGAAAGGGGAAUUCCCAGUGUAGCGGUGAAAUGCGUAGAUAUUGGGAGGAACACCAGUGGCGAAGGCGCCUUUCUGGACUGUGUCUGACGCUGAGAUGCGAAAGCCAGGGUAGCGAACGGGAUUAGAAACCCCAGUAGUCC